Molecule: transfer RNA, 605 nt
Filed under: Nunduva fasciculata FCME C1290-M9
Lineage: Bacteria; Bacillati; Cyanobacteriota; Cyanophyceae; Nostocales; Rivulariaceae
Description: partial 16S-23S ribosomal RNA intergenic spacer
Rfam family: tRNA (bases 294-366)
Source: RNAcentral
GACCUUACCCAUUCAUACACCGAGAUAUAUAUAGGUGAUGAUUGUGGUCGUCCCAAGGUCGUGGCGCAGGUUUGGUAAUAUGUUAGGCUUUCAAACAAUUAUAGGUUCGGUUCAAUAGAACUUAUGACCUAUGGGCUAUUAGCUCAGGUGGUUAGAGCGCACCCCUGAUAAGGGUGAGGUCCCUGGUUCGAGUCCAGGAUGGCCCACCUGAAAAUAGUUAGGAGUUAAGAGGCGGGGAGUUAGGAAUAAAAAAGAAUUCAUAACUCAUAAUUUAUAACUCAUAACUUUUGUUUGGGGGUAUAGCUCAGUUGGUAGAGCGCUGCCUUUGCAAGGCAGAUGUCAGCGGUUCGAGUCCGCUUACCUCCACCAAAUUUUUGGAUGGCGUUGUAUAAGUAAGGAAAGAUUUCAGCACCCAGACUUAGAUAUAUAUAUAAGUUGGAAUGCUGGAUUGCGAUCCAGUCAGAACCUUGAAAACUGCAUAUUCACGCGAAAUGAUUAAUGGUAGUCUUUAAUUAUUUGUUUCUAAGAAAUUAGAAACUGGAUGGUUAAAGAAAGUAUCUAGAUAUCCUAUUUUGUUAGAAAAUGAUUGUAUUGGAAUAUCUUGU